This 74-nucleotide transfer RNA is filed under the name Parapusillimonas granuli. RNAcentral describes it as "tRNA-Cys". It matches the Rfam family "tRNA". From Rfam's summary of the family: Transfer RNA (tRNA) molecules are approximately 80 nucleotides in length. Their secondary structure includes four short double-helical elements and three loops (D, anti-codon, and T loops). Further hydrogen bonds mediate the characteristic L-shaped molecular structure. tRNAs have two regions of fundamental functional importance: the anti-codon, which is responsible for specific mRNA codon recognition, and the 3' end, to which the tRNAs corresponding amino acid is attached (by aminoacyl-tRNA synthetases). tRNAs cope with the degeneracy of the genetic code in two manners: having more than one tRNA (with a specific anti-codon) for a particular amino acid; and 'wobble' base-pairing, i.e. permitting non-standard base-pairing at the 3rd anti-codon position. Lineage: Bacteria; Pseudomonadati; Pseudomonadota; Betaproteobacteria; Burkholderiales; Alcaligenaceae. The record is from RNAcentral. RNAcentral also lists the same sequence under 8 other names.
GGCGCGAUGGCAGAGUGGUUAUGCAGCGGAUUGCAAAUCCGUGUACCCCGGUUCGAUUCCGAGUCGCGCCUCCA